UUAAUCAGAUAUAGAAAUGACUUCUCUCAAAAGGAUUUUGCAACCACUCUCACUUCUCUUAUUAACUCUGCUCCUCACUUCCGUUACUUCCGGCCGUUUCCUAAUCGAUUUCGACCCUGUUCCGUCAUCUGCCAGCACCCCAUUGGACACUGACCUUUCGUUAGGUUACACCGUCCCUUUGACCAGUAACGAAAUGACGUCGGAUCAAUCGAGAGCCGUCGUACAAACGUCCAACAUAAUCAGAUGAUAAUCUCGAAGUGGUGAAACAGGAGUUUUAGUUGAAGAUUUCCAAUUUCUAUAGAUCGGAGGUGUAAAUCCGCCGACUAAAUCCACCAGCUCUUGUUCGGGACCAUUAUGGUUAAAUUUUAAAUUUUUUUAAGGUGUUUUCUUUCUACAAUCAAUUUUCAGUUACAAUUUCGACUUGAUCAAAACUCAAGAUUUGAUAUUUCUUUGUACCUCACAAUUCGUGGAUCUACUCCAAUUGUAAGAACAUAGAAAUUACGAGUUUCUAAAAUGACCACAAUUUAAGAUCAAAAGUACAUCUAUCAGUGAGUUUCAGCUUACAGCAAAAAUGUACGAAUUAUUUUUGUAUU
Molecule: long non-coding RNA, 593 nt
Organism: Camelina sativa (false flax)
Lineage: Eukaryota; Viridiplantae; Streptophyta; Magnoliopsida; Brassicales; Brassicaceae
Source: RefSeq, a predicted model, not a curated record